Molecule: long non-coding RNA, 7614 nt
Filed under: Linum usitatissimum (flax)
Lineage: Eukaryota; Viridiplantae; Streptophyta; Magnoliopsida; Malpighiales; Linaceae
Description: long non-coding RNA (LUSI_LNC005604)
Source: RNAcentral
GCGUCUCGUUUAAAGUCUCCAAAAAGGGUUCAAGGUUCCGUCCGAAACCUGUAGCUCAGCAAAAGGAUGUUGCUUCCGAUGAUGAAUCUGAAGUUCCCAAGGAUGGGUCCUUGAUUGGCGCCAGAAAUCCUUCGUCCAAGAACAGGGCCGAGGUAAAAAUUAGGGCUUGUUUAAGAUUGAAUUGCGAAAGAAGCGUGUAAAAUUAGGGCUGUUUGGUUAAGAUUUAGGAUUGGUUAAGCUUCAUCACCCUGCCAAUUUCGAUAGCGUUGGGUAUUUGCUUUCUGCUGGUUUUUCUGCUGAAGAUUGGCACGUGAGAAUUGAAAUGUGGCAUCUUAUUGACUCGGAAGUUAUUUUUUCUUGUACUAUUCUUUCAUGGAGAUACAAAAUUCAAACCUGGUGCUGUAUCUGUUUUUGCUGCUUAAGUUUAGUAUCUUAAGAGAAAAGAACAAUGAAAUCUCGAUUCUGAGGCUGUGCUGCGUUAGAUGGUGGUAUGGUGCAGUGUAAGUUAACUGUUUGGUGGUUACAUGUGCCUAACUAAUGCAUGGACUGUUCUGAUUUCGUAUGUUUGUGUCUGGUUUUUUAUAUCCUCUUUCUCGAAUGGUUGUGUGAAAGCGUGUUGGUAGACUUGCUUCUCGAGCUCUAAUUUGGCUCUGACGAAUUAAGUUUUCUGUGAUAUAGGGCACUUUUGCUGAUGGUACUGAUGGUCUAUCGGAUGUCUCGAGUAUAUCUGUCCGUGGUAAAGAGAGCUUUUUCCGUUAUGGUUUUUGUUUAUUGUUGUUAAAUGGGGCUAGAAGUUGCUGAUACCAUUUGAUCCUGAACAUUGUUGAUGUUUCCUGUUUCUUCAGAGAACGAAGUUUCCUUCACUUUGAACCUCUAUCCAGAUGGAUAUUCUAUUGGAAAAGUUUCGGAGGUGUGCUGAAAGGAUAUCAUUGAUUUCCUUGUAUAGUUUGGAGAGCUGCAUAUUCUUUUGUUUGAUUUUAACUUGAGUUCGCCUAUGAAUUUUCAGAAUGAUAUUGUGCACAGGGCUCCCCUUCAAGAUGCUUCAAAGUUGCUGCACCCUUAUGAUAGGGCAUCUGAAACUAUAUUCGUGGUUGGUACUGCUUAUUAUUCUCGAUUCGUGUAAUUAGAUUCUGCUUUAUCAUGGAAACCUAUCUCCCAUCUGUGUCGUGCCUUUCACUUAGUUGAACUGCCAACCACUCUCACUAGCUUCAUUUUACAAGUUUAUUGGUUUUCAAUUGCUUACGCUUUGUACAGGCAAUUGAGUCUGGCUGGUUGCCGGGAGAUAUCCUGGAUGAUAUACCAUGCAAGUACGUUAAUGGAAGUCUAAUAUGUGAGGUGAGUAUCUUUUGUGUUUGAACUUCUAGCAAUAUCAUUUGCUGGAUAUAUUAAGACCGUGGCAACAUUCAUACAUGUAUUAUCUAAUGAAACUGUAAGAAUGAUGUAUCGUUAAAGUCUCUAAAGUGGUGACAUGUUCAAAACUUUUGUAGAUUCGAGAUUAUCGGAAGUGUGCUACUGAGCAAGGGUCUGCUAUCACAUCUACUGAUGUCCCUAUCAUAAAUAAAGUGCGCCUAAAGAUGUCAUUGGAGAAUGUAGUAAAGGAUAUUCCAUUGAUCUCAGAUAACUCAUGGACCUAUGGGGAUUUAAUGGUAAUAGUUACUGUCUUUCUCUUAGUAAGUUUCUGCAAUAUUUUUUGAGCCAUCAGGCUUUAGUGAUGUUUAUAACUGUCGCUAUAGGAAGUGGAGUCCAGGAUAGUGAAGGCUUUGCAGCCAGUGCUUUCUCUUGAUCCCAAACCAAAAUUGGAUAGACUUUCUGCUAGUCCUCUUCCUUCCAAGGUAAUAACUUUCCAAAUUAAUGUGGUAUUCCAUCAGAGAAGUAUUUCAACAUUUUUAUUCAACUCUCCUGACUCAUAUUUGCAGCUUAAUUUAAAUCUGGCUAGUCUGCGGAGGAAAAGGUUGAGGCAGAUACCGAAUGUUACCGUGACAUCUACAAGCAGACUCCAUGGGAAGAAAGUUUGCAUAGAUCAAGUCCCGGAAAGCUCUAACAGUAGAUUUUCUGACCCAAACAUUAUGGUGGGCAACAUGAUGCACCCGCAUGUCCAGGGGAAUCUAACAGCUCCAAAUCUUGGUCAAGGAAACAUGCCAGGUGGCAGUAGUCAGGCAUUCCCUUUGGUUUCUUCUCAGCCAAGGUAUCAACCGGGCGUUGGCUCAGGGCCUCUUGUUAAUGUUUCGGCAGCUUCCCCGAGUGGACAAGAUAUGAUGGUCACUUAUAAUGACAAUGUAAAUGCAAGUGCUUCAAUGCAUGGUAAAAGAGGAAAUCAAGAUGGACAAAUGUCACCAUUAGCAAAUAAUAAUAAGAGAGCGAGGAUGACAUCAGGUCCUGACGGCAAACAACAGCCACAAGUAGGACCAAUUUCGGAUAACCUCCAAGCGGCUGAUAUGAACUGGAAGAGUUCAUUACUUCAGCAGCACAUUAUGGCAAGAGGAAUGCAGCAGUACCCCAAUGCAGGGAUUCAAAAGUAUCCACAGAUGUUUGAAGGGGUUUUGAAUCAGGGUGCUGGAACACCAUUUUCUGCUGGACAAUCGGCUUUGAGGUUUGGUCCAAAGGAAGAACUGUUUGAGUCAGAAAAGCUUGGUGGAUCUGAACUGAAUCAGGGAAAGAGUGAUAUGACAAUAGAGAACAAUUUGGUAAGUCUGGAUCCACAGCAGUUGCGCCUACAUCAAAGACUUCCACAACAUAUGAUGAGACCGAAUUUUCCCCAGACGGGAUGGAACAAUCUCAGCCAAGACACAAAAAAGGAGGAACAACAACACCCAAAGAGAAAACCAGCACAAAGUCCCCGGUUGUCUGCAGGGACAUUGGCUCAGUCUCCAUUAUCGUCAAGAUCUGGGGAAUACUCUGGUAACUCAGCUGGACCUCACAUGGGAGGAGUUGCAGCAGUAACCUCUCUUGGAUCGCAGAAGGACAAGUCAGCUGUUACCUCGCUUCCUGCCAUUGCUGGGACUGCUUCUGCCAAGCGGAGGUCAAAUUCGGUCCCAAAGAACUCUGCUAUGAGUGGAGUUGCCUCUCCUGCAAGUGUUGGUAACAUUAGUGGUUCAUUGAAUGCAAACAGUCCUACAGUUGGAACACAAUCUAUGGCUGAUCAUGCCAUUCUUGAAAGGUUUGCCAAGAUUGAGGUUGUCGCUUCAAGGUACAGUGUCCUGCAAGUACAACUGCUAUCUGCAAACUGAUCUUUUUUCCUGUAUUAAUGUUUGACUGAAUUUUUUCUGUUCCAGGCAUCAGCUUAGCCGUAAAAGGAAUAAACUAGAUGACUACCCAAGGAAGCAAAAUACGUAUAAUCCUCAGAAUAUUGCGGUUUGCCUAUCCAAUGCAGCGAAUUAUGAGGAUUUCAAAGAUGAAAUUAAAGAAAGGCAAUUAUCGAAGUCACUUGUUGGUGGCAACAUCAAUGUUCUCAAGAUAAGAGUUAUGAAUUUUAUGCAAGGUGAACGAGUGCUGCAAGGUUUGUUGAUGAAUCUACUCAAAAGUAUUAAAAAAAUUACACACUCAAAUUUAUUUAGUUACAUUUGUCACUAAGAGCUGCCUUAAUUCCCUAGGAAAUGUUGUGACUUAUGUCCCGAAGGCACGUGCUAGAAUGAUCAUGAUGGAGAAGUCGAAUGAUGGUACUGUGGCUAUGCAUUAUGGAGACUUAGAGGAUGGGGAUGUUCUCUCUGCUGAGGAAUAUCUUCCUACAUUGCCUAAUACUGUAAGUCUACUGAUGAGAUCGGAUUCCAAUAUAUUGUCGGCAUAGCUUAAAGAGCCAUGAUUUUAUGUUUCGGCUGAGUUUGUGUUUCUAUUAUUUUCAUGUUUGGCUCUGAUCCCCGAUAUUGUUUUUUUCUGCAGCAUUUUGCGGAUUUGCUCGCACAGCAGUUCUGUACAUUGGUAUGUUAGAAGAAUAGGCUUUCGAUUUUUGUAUGAUUUUCCUUUCCUCUUUCAUCAUCCACUCAGACUCGUUUUUGUUUCCCAACGCAGAUGAGUCGAGAUGGUUAUCUAGUGGAAAAUCACAUCGAACAGAAACCAACAAGGAUGAAUAAUACCUCAUCAGGCAGUCAACCUGGCGUAUUCCCCAACAAUGCAACAAUGGAGAUGCAGCAGCAGUACAACGAAUCCAUGGCGGGUCAGACCUCAAAUGAUGUGAAGCCCACUCUUAGUGGCAACCCUUCGGUAAAUUCGUCCCAGAACGCACCGGUAAAUGCAAGGAUGCUGCUUCCUGGGAACUCUCAGGCCUUACAGAUGCCGGUGCCUCCAAGACCGCAGCAACUGGACCCACAACAGUUACCAAUUUCACAGCAAUCACAGCAACAAAACCAGCAUGCUUUACUUCAACAACAGCAUCAUCAGCAUCAACAGCUUCAGAGGACACAAAUGGUGCUUCCACCAAACCCACUCUCCCAUUUGAACGCCAUGGGGCAAAAUCCGAACAUGCAAUCGGGUGGCCAUUCAGUUAAUAACAAACAUUCUCCACUCCAACUUUCCCAGCAACAACUGCAGCAGAGGAAAUUGAUGAUGGGGCUUGCGGGGCAACCGGGCAUGGGCAAUAUCGGAAAUAACAUGGCGGCGUAUGGAGGCUUGGCGAAUGCCAUGGGGAUCGGAGGAGCUGCAAGGGGAAUUGUCGCCGGUUCAGGAAUUUCUGGACCAAUGGCACCUAAUUCGGGUAAUGUUGGUGGUCAGAACCCAAACCAGAUGCUAAUGAGCCAGGGGAUUAACAUCGGUAACGCCUUAAGCCAGCAGUUUCGAUCCGGGAAGAUGAAUCAGCAACAGGCUGCCUUUUUGACAUCGCUCAGGAUGGCGAGUGCUCGAACAACCAUGCUCGGUGGCCCUCAGCCUGGAAUGUCUGGUGGUCGACAGAUUAAUCACACGAAUGCUGCCGGUCUGUCCAUGUUGGGACAAUGACGGAAUGCAGCAGUACCCCAAUGCAGGGAUUCAAAAGUAUCCACAGAUGUUUGAAGGGGUUUUGAAUCAGGGUGCUGGAACACCAUUUUCUGCUGGACAAUCGGCUUUGAGGUUUGGUCCAAAGGAAGAACUGUUUGAGUCAGAAAAGCUUGGUGGAUCUGAACUGAAUCAGGGAAAGAGUGAUAUGACAAUAGAGAACAAUUUGGUAAGUCUGGAUCCACAGCAGUUGCGCCUACAUCAAAGACUUCCACAACAUAUGAUGAGACCGAAUUUUCCCCAGACGGGAUGGAACAAUCUCAGCCAAGACACAAAGAAGGAAGAACAACAACACCCAAAGAGGAAACCAGCACAAAGUCCCCGUUUGUCUGCAGGGACAUUGGCUCAGUCUCCAUUAUCGUCAAGAUCUGGGGAAUACUCUGGUAACUCAGCUGGACCUCACAUGGGAGGAGUUGCAGCAGUAACCUCUCUUGGAUCGCAGAAGGACAAGUCCGCUGUUACCUCGCUUCCUGCCAUUGCUGGGACUGCUUCUGCCAAGCGGAGGUCAAAUUCGGUCCCAAAGAACUCUGCUAUGAGUGGAGUUGCCUCUCCUGCAAGUGUUGGUAACAUUAGUGGUUCAUUGAAUGCAAACAGUCCUACAGUUGGAACACAAUCUAUGGCUGAUCAUGCCAUUCUUGAUAGGUUUGCGAAGAUUGAGAUUGUCGCUUCAAGGUACAGUGUCCUGCAAGUACAACUGCUAUCUGCAAACUGAUCUUUUUUCCUGUAUUAAUGUUUGACUGAAUUUUUUCUGUUCCAGGCAUCAGCUUAGCCGUAAAAGGAAUAAACUAGAUGACUACCCAAGGAAGCAAAAUACGUAUAAUCCUCAGAAUAUUGCGGUUUGCCUAUCCAAUGCAGCGAAUUAUGAGGAUUUCAAAGAUGAAAUUAAAGAAAGGCAAUUAUCGAAGUCACUUGUUGGUGGCAACAUCAAUGUUCUCAAGAUAAGAGUUAUGAAUUUUAUGCAAGGUGAACGAGUGCUGCAAGGUUUGUUGAUGAAUCUACUCAAAAGUAUUAAAAAAAUUACACACUCAAAUUUAUUUAGUUACAUUUGUCACUAAGAGCUGCCUUAAUUCCCUAGGAAAUGUUGUGACUUAUGUCCCGAAGGCACGUGCUAGAAUGAUCAUGAUGGAGAAGUCGAAUGAUGGUACUGUGGCUAUGCACUAUGGAGACUUAGAGGAUGGGGAUGUUCUCUCUGCUGAGGAAUAUCUUCCUACAUUGCCUAAUACUGUAAGUCUACUGAUGAAAUCGGAUUCCAAUUCUAUUGUCUGCAUAGCUUGAAGAGCCAUGAUUUUAUGUUUCAGCUGAGUUUUUGUGUUUCUAUUAUUUUCAUGUUUGGCUCUGAUCCCCGAUAUUGUUUUUUUCUGCAGCAUUUUGCGGAUUUGCUCGCACAGCAGUUCUGUACAUUGGUAUGUUAGAAGAAUAGGCUUUCGAUUUUUGUAUGAUUUUCCUUUCCUCUUUCAUCAUCCACUCAGACUCGUUUUUGUUUCCCAACGCAGAUGAGUCGAGAUGGUUAUCUAGUGGAAAAUCACAUCGAACAAAAACCAACAAGGAUGAAUAAUACUUCAUCAAGCAGUCAACCUGGUGUAUUCCCCAACAAUGUAACAAUGGAGAUGCAGCAGCAAUACAAUGAAUCCAUGGCGGGUCAGACCUCAAAUGAUGUGAAGCCCACUCUUAGUGGCAACCCUUCGGUAAAUUCGUCCCAGAACGCACCGGUAAAUGCAAGGAUGCUGCUUCCUGGGAACUCUCAGGCCUUACAGAUGCCGGUGCCUCCAAGACCGCAGCAACUGGACCCACAACAGUUACCAAUUUCACAGCAAUCACAGCAACAAAACCAGCAUGCUUUACUUCAACAACAGCAUCAUCAGCAUCAACAGCUUCAGAGGACACAAAUGGUGCUUCCACCAAACCCACUCUCCCAUUUGAACGCCAUGGGGCAAAAUCCGAACAUGCAAUCGGGUGGCCAUUCAGUUAAUAACAAACAUUCUCCACUCCAACUUUCCCAGCAACAACUGCAGCAGAGGAAAUUGAUGAUGGGGCUUGCGGGGCAACCGGGCAUGGGCAAUAUCGGAAAUAACAUGGCGGCGUAUGGAGGCUUGGCGAAUGCCAUGGGGAUCGGAGGAGCUGCAAGGGGAAUUGUUGCCGGUUCUGGAAUUUCCGGACCAAUGGCACCUAAUUCAGGUAAUGUUGGUGGUCAGAACCCAAACCAGUUGCUAAUGAGCCAGGGGAUUAACAUUGGCAACGCCAUAAGCCAGCAGAUGCGAUCCGGGAAGAUGACUCAGCAACAGGCUGCCUUUCUGACAUCGCUCAGGAUGGCGAAUGCUCGAACAACCAUGCUCGGUGGCCCCCAGCCUGGAAUGUCGGGUGUUCGGCAGAUUACUCACCCGAAUGCUGCCGGUCUGUCCAUGCUGGGACAAUCCCUAAAUAGACCCAACAUGAGCCAGAUGCAACGAAACGCAAUGGGCGGACCCAUGGGCCCGCCAAAGCUUGCAGGGAUGAACAUGUAUAUGAAUCAGAAUCUGAAUCAGAAUCAGCAAUUGCAGUUACAGCAGCAGCAGUUGCAGCAAUUCCAACAGCAGCAGCAGCAGCAGCCGGAAGCUACCUCGUCUCUUCAAGCUGUGGUUUCGCCAUCACAAGUGGGCUCACCGUCAACCAUGG